RNAcentral lists this ribosomal RNA (516 nucleotides) under uncultured bacterium. Its description in RNAcentral is "bacterial SSU rRNA". It matches the Rfam family "Bacterial small subunit ribosomal RNA", at positions 28 to 526 of the family's 1533-position model. The record is from RNAcentral.
GACGAACGCUGGCGGCGUGCCUAAUACAUGCAAGUCGAGCGGAUGGAUUCGGGGCUUGCCCCGAUGAAGUCAGCGGCGGACGGGUGAGUAACACGUGGGUAACCUGCCUGGUAGACUGGGAUAACGCUUGGAAACGAGUGCUAAUACCGGAUAAUCGCUUAGAUCGCAUGGUCUGAGUGUAAAAGGAGCUGUCGCUUCACUGCCAGAUGGACCCGCGGCGCAUUAGCUAGUUGGUGAGGUAACGGCUCACCAAGGCGACGAUGCGUAGCCGACCUGAGAGGGUGAUCGGCCACACUGGGACUGAGACACGGCCCAGACUCCUACGGGAGGCAGCAGUAGGGAAUCUUCCGCAAUGGGCGCAAGCCUGACGGAGCAACGCCGCGUGAGUGAUGAAGGCCUUCGGGUUGUAAAACUCUGUCUUCUGUGAAGAACCACCAUGUGCACAGAAAGCUCAUGGCCUGACGGUAACAGAGGAGGAAGCCCCGGCUAACUACGUGCCAGCAGCCGCCGUAAAAC